UACGGAGGAUGCGAGCGUUAUCCGGAUUUAUUGGGUUUAAAGGGUGCGUAGGCGGCCGAGUAAGUCAGCGGUGAAAUUUUGCAGCUUAACUGUAACAGUGCCGUUGAUACUGCAUGGCUAGGAUUUGGUUGCUGUGGGUGGAAUGUGUGGUGUAGCGGUGAAAUGCUUAGAUAUCACACAGAAUAUCGAUUGCGAAGGCAGCUUACUAAUCCAUCAUUGACGCUGAGGCACGAAAGCGUGGGGAGUCAAA
RNAcentral lists this ribosomal RNA (250 nucleotides) under uncultured prokaryote. RNAcentral's name for it is "partial 16S ribosomal RNA". It matches the Rfam family "Bacterial small subunit ribosomal RNA", at positions 524 to 773 of the family's 1533-position model. The record is from RNAcentral.